This 25-nucleotide small RNA is filed under the name Arabidopsis thaliana (thale cress). RNAcentral describes it as "ATSL303060". Lineage: Eukaryota; Viridiplantae; Streptophyta; Magnoliopsida; Brassicales; Brassicaceae. The record is from RNAcentral.
UUCCUUAUCCUUCUUCUCCUUUUCC